ACCCUGGGCCGCCGCAGCAGAGCGUUGGAACUUAACCACUCGGCCACGGGGCUAGCGCCUCUGUUCCAGCCUGCGCGUCUGACCCAUCGACAUGGACUUACCAGGCAGCCGCCAUCGGCCCAACUCACGUUGGUAGGAGCGAGGGUCAGGGGACAGUAACGAGUAAAGUAGAGUAGCGUGCAGACCAGAUGCCUGCUUCUCGUAUUACCUGGCCGUGAGCAGACCAGGGUCUCUGCCUGCACCAGCCCCAGCACUCCGGGGGGGAACUGCAUCUGCGGCAUCGUCAGGCCUCCGACUGAGGACGCACAGCCCGCCCCGGCCCUAAGCCGUCCUUCCUGGUGAUGCUCCGCAGGUGCAGAAAGAUACUUCUCUGAAAAUGCGUGUUUGUUGCAAACUCUGGACACACCCAGGACCUUUCCGAGUCAGCAGUGCAGUUGGAUGUCAAGUUUUCGUGCUUUGAAAAUGUUUUCAAAUUACUUGGUAAUCCCUGAGAACACUAUCAUAGUUUUAAUAUCGAUCCUUCUCACACAGUACUUAAGUUACUAAUCGUGAGCCGCCUUGUGCCUGCACGGGGCUUCCUCAGGCGUUGUAUAAGCUGCGAUGAAAUACCUCGUGAUAUUAUGAAUUCUGAGAUGUUUGGAAUCAAAUCACAGCCUCAGUCCCCACGCUCUUUUUAUUUGCCUUAAGUGUUCGCUUAUUUGUUUACCCAUUUGUUUUUGUCUUCCGUUUGUAUCUUGUUGCCCUUUGUUUUAAGAUAACUUCAUCCGUGUCUAAAGUUCUCCCAGAAAAAAGCAUGUUUUGAAAAAGUGCUGUGUGUAUUAUAUUCACAUAUUUGGUUGAAUUUUAAAUUGCAAGUCAUUGAGGGCAGAGAAAGGAAGUGUGUUUUAAAACUAAAAUGUGGCCUCACCACGUGGAGUCGUUUAAGGUGAUUAAUUGCCGGGACUCUGAAGAACCGAGCAAAUUCCCAUUCAUGGUCAUUUCUCAUAUUCCCUAAAGCUCUAAGUUCUGGGGCAAAACUGAAGAUACACCCUGCUCUUGUGGCUCAGCCACUUUUCCUCUUCUCAGAAUCCGCUUCUCUGAAAUGGUGUGAUUCAGAGUCCAGGGGCUAAGAGACAGUUUAGCAGAUCUGAAGGAGUGGAGCCGGACAGCCGGAUCAGGGCGGCUUCCUCUUCUUGGGAGGGGCCUGAAGCCCCUCUGAAGGCUGCUUAUCCCAGUUCCAGCUGGAAACUGAAUAGGGUGUUCAGAGCUGUUGGAAGGAAGAGAAAGGAAAAGAAGAAAGCAGUGGCAUUCAGAAUCAAGGGCAGACUUUCCAAAGCUCCUCUCCUUUAGCUGAAGGAAAUUUAUAUUAGAGGUAGCCUUGUCUGUUUCCCGUGGGAGGGUUUAGUCAUUCAGGGAAAAAUAUGUGGGUUUAUGGUUUAGAUGCUAGACUCAGAGGAUUGGUGGGACCUGCACAGCCAUGUGAACUGGAUUAUCAGACACCUUGCAAGUUGUUUUAAAAAGUUCUCUGCAUGCACUCCUUUAUUUUAUAUUGUGGGCUUCUUUUUCUUUGUUCGUGAAGGUCUUCGUUGGUCUGAAGCUGCCUGAGUACAGCAGCGUUUCACCCGCUCUGGGCGGGGCUUUCUUCUUGUUUCUGAGACUCUAAUUCAGCAGCGGUUGGGUUAGGUGACUGGACUUGAAACUUCUUCCUAACGGUAGGUCAGCAGGUGUUCUGGGGACGUGUUUGGUCUGCCAUUAUAGUAGGAUAGAGUCACAAAAACUCAGUAGGAAUCACAUGCACUUACUUGUUAAAGUAGGCUUUUGUUGUGCCACGGAUUCUGUGUUCUCUAUUUGUAGAAAACCUCUUGAUAUAAUCUUGGCAGCAGUUUGGGAUUCAGAAUUAAUCUAUGAAAAAUGUUCAAAGUAAGAAGGAAGUAGUCUCUAAAAUGAGUGUUUAAAAAUACACAAUCAGCCAUCCUUCACUGCCAUCCUAACCGAAGCUUCGCAGUGAGUUAUGUUUAAUUAUGUAGGUGAGGAUUUUUCUCCAUUAGCCUAACAAAUAGAUGGCAAAAAUAGGCAUCGCUUUGAAAAAGCAGAAUCUGAAGGCUGCCUUGCUGCCUGUCCUGCUCAUCCGUGAUGAGCAGCUGCCGUGAGCUGCUGGGCUCUGCUUACUGAAGUCUGCUAGAGACGUCAUUGAGUCAGUGGAUUGAUUAACGACAGAUUCCCUUAAAGGACAAUCAUGUGGCUUUUAAUCUUUUCUUAGUUCUUAGGCCCCUUUGAACACCUAGUGAAAGCUAUUGCUAACUCUUUAGACAAGUGCUUAUAUCCAUUUGCACACAAAAUUUUACGUAAUCCCUGAGCUUUCUAGAAUCUCUGACGACAUCAUGAACCCCACCCGUGCUCUGCCAAUAAAAACAGCUACAUUAAGGUGUAGUUUAAACAACAUAGGGAAAUAAAAAUUUGUGUAUGUAUGAGUAGUGUCGCCAUGUGUGAGUGUGUGUGUAUAUAUACCUAUUUUUUUUUCCAAGUUCUCCAUUUUCUCUGUGGUUAAAACAAGAGAGAACCAGAAGAGCUUCUAAUAUUCUUGAUAAUUUCCAUUCUUAGCUCAGCUGAAAAUCAUAAAGCAUCUUAAGGAAAAAUAAGGAAGGAGUUUCAUUGCCUCUCAUGGUCUGCCAGCAUCUUGCAGUGAAUAGUCUUUUGUGAUGAAAAUUCAUUGCAGGAUACGUGGGAGAACACUGAAGCUGUCACAAUGCACAAGAAGUUUGGAAUUGAAAAGUAGGCGCAAAAUGUGGUUGUUCGUGAGCUGACCAUAAAGUCCUUGAAGGUGUAAUUAGAUACUGAUAACAUUAUAAAAGUAAAAAUUAUCACAUUUUGGGAAAUUUGGGAAUUUCUCCUAAGCCUGAAACCUGGGGUCAGUUUACAGUUCCUGCCUUCCUCCCUGUCUGCAUCCAGCCCAUCACCAGGCACUGUCUGUCUCACCUCCUGAGUAGCUGUGCCAUCUGGCCUGCCCUCCAUCCCCAGCUCUUGCUCUGCAUUCGUGGAGGUCCUUGUUAUCACCUUUCUACGCUGGUGCACAUUCUGGAAUGUAAUGUAAAUUUGCAGAUACACCCAGACCAGGAGUGGAGUUCCAAUUCCAGAUUUCCUACUGACUAGCUGUGCAAAUGGAGCAAUUUGUGAACCUCUCUGAGCCUGUUUCCUCAUAUCUGAAGUGGGGAUUGUAAUAAUUCCACCACAGUAAGUGUAGAGGAGGAAGACAAUUCCUCUACCCUCUAGGUCCUUCUGGCUGGCCUGGGAACUAAAUUGACAUGAGACAGAAUAACAGGAGGAAAUCAGGCAGAGCUUUAUAUCAUGUAUACAUGGGAGAGACCUAGGAAAUAUGAGUAACUCAACAAAAUGGCAGAGGCUGUCACCUUAAAUACCAUCUUCAGCCAAAGACAAAGGAAGACGUUGGGAGUGGAGGAAGUCAGUUACAGGAGAUUACCAGAAAAGCACAGUAAACAAGAGUAAGGUUAGUAUGCAGAUUUAAGUGCUUAUCUUCAGUAUUGACAAGAGUGUCUAGAGAUAACAUCAUCCCUCUUCCUGGUACAGAGAGGGAGCUAUCUUUACAGAUGGAGAUUUCCUUUAGAAAUAUAAAGGUCUCUUACAAAGGGUAACUUCUAUUUGGUUUUCAGAGUCUUUCUCAUGUCUGCAGGUUUUAAAAAAAUAGCCAGCCAAAAAUAAUUCUCAUGCCAGGGGCUGGCCUAGCAGCAUAGUGGUUA
Equus caballus (horse) is the source of this 3734-nucleotide non-coding RNA. NCBI's taxonomy places the organism in Eukaryota, Metazoa, Chordata, Mammalia, Perissodactyla, Equidae. The record is from RefSeq and is a predicted model, not a curated record.